GUCGAGAAUCUUCCGCAAUGCGCGAAAGCGUGACGGAGCGACACCGCGUGAUGGAUGAAGUCCUUCGGGGCGUAAACAUCUUUUAUAAAGGAGGAAAUUUUUGACGUUACUUUAUGAAUAAGGGGCUCCCAAUCUCGUGCCAGCAGGAGCGGUAAUACGAGAGCCUCAAGCGUUAUCCGGAAUCAUUGGGCGUAAAGGGUGCGUAGGUGGUUUGAUUAGUCUCCCGUUAAAACUUCGAGCUUAACUCGAAAAGAGCGGGGGAAACGGUCAAACUAGAGUAUGUGAGAGGUGGGUGGAACUCAUGGUGUAGGGGUGAAAUCCGUUGAUAUCAUGGGGAACACCAAAAGCGAAGGCAGCACACUGGCACAUCACUGACACUGAGGCACGAAACCUAAGGUAGCGAAUGGGAUUAGAAACCCCGGUAGUCC
RNAcentral lists this ribosomal RNA (428 nucleotides) under uncultured bacterium. RNAcentral's name for it is "partial 16S ribosomal RNA". It matches the Rfam family "Bacterial small subunit ribosomal RNA", at positions 354 to 796 of the family's 1533-position model. The record is from RNAcentral.